RNAcentral lists this ribosomal RNA (484 nucleotides) under uncultured bacterium. RNAcentral's name for it is "partial 16S ribosomal RNA". It matches the Rfam family "Bacterial small subunit ribosomal RNA", at positions 30 to 507 of the family's 1533-position model. The record is from RNAcentral.
AUUGAACGCUGGCGGCAUGCUUUACACAUGCAAGUCGAACGGCAGCGCGGGCUUCGGCCUGGCGGCGCGUGGCGAACGGGUGAGUAAUACAUCGGAACGUGCCCAGUAGUGGUGGAUAGCUCGGCGAAAGCCGGAUUAAUACCGCAUACGACCUGAGGGUGAAAGCGGGGGAUCUUCGGACCUCGCGCUCUUUGAGCGGCCGAUGGCAGAUUAGCUAGUUGGUUGGGUAAAGGCCUACCAAGGCGACGAUCUGUAGCUGGUCUGAGAGGACGACCAGCCACACUGGGACUGAGACACGGCCCAGACUCCUACGGGAGGCAGCAGUGGGGAAUUUUGGACAAUGGUCGAAAGCCUUAUCCAGCAAUGCCGCGUGUGUGAUGAAGGCCUUCGGGUUGUAAAGCACUUUUGGCGGGAACGAAAAGGACUGUGCCAAUACCACGGUUCGAUGACGGUACCCGCAGAAUAAGCACCGGCUAACUACGUG